UACGGGGGGGGUAAGCGUUGUUCGGAAUUACUGGGCGUAAAGGGCUCGUAGGCGGCCAACUAAGUCCGACGUGAAAUCCCCAGGCUUAACCUGGGAACUGCGUCGGAUACUGGUUGGCUUGAAUCCGGGAGAGGGAUGCGGAAUUCCAGGUGUAGCGGUGAAAUGCGAAGAUAUCUGGAGGAACACCGGUGGCGAAGGCGGCAUCCUGGACCGGCAUUGACGCUGAACAGCGAAAGCCAGGGGAGCAAACGGG
This 253-nucleotide ribosomal RNA is filed under the name uncultured bacterium. RNAcentral describes it as "partial 16S ribosomal RNA". It matches the Rfam family "Bacterial small subunit ribosomal RNA", at positions 524 to 776 of the family's 1533-position model. The record is from RNAcentral.